Molecule: non-coding RNA, 22 nt
Filed under: Arabidopsis thaliana (thale cress)
Lineage: Eukaryota; Viridiplantae; Streptophyta; Magnoliopsida; Brassicales; Brassicaceae
Source: RNAcentral
UUGAGUUUCCUAUCUAUGCGGU